This 21-nucleotide small nuclear RNA is filed under the name Arabidopsis thaliana (thale cress). RNAcentral describes it as "snRNA_12236". The record is from RNAcentral. Lineage: Eukaryota; Viridiplantae; Streptophyta; Magnoliopsida; Brassicales; Brassicaceae.
AUCAGCGUGCUCCGGGCGUCG